RNAcentral lists this transfer RNA (90 nucleotides) under Massilia sp. CCM 8734. RNAcentral's name for it is "tRNA-His". It matches the Rfam family "tRNA". From Rfam's summary of the family: Transfer RNA (tRNA) molecules are approximately 80 nucleotides in length. The record is from RNAcentral. Lineage: Bacteria; Pseudomonadati; Pseudomonadota; Betaproteobacteria; Burkholderiales; Oxalobacteraceae.
GUGACGUUAGCUCAGUUGGCAGAGCUUUGGAUUGUGAUUCAAGGGCCGCCGCCGUAGCGACGGCCGAUUCGAAUCCGGUACGUCACCCCA